Molecule: ribosomal RNA, 466 nt
Filed under: uncultured bacterium
Lineage: Bacteria
Description: partial 16S ribosomal RNA
Rfam family: Bacterial small subunit ribosomal RNA
Source: RNAcentral
GACGAACGCUGGCGGCGUGCUUAACACAUGCAAGUCGAACGGAAAGGCCCUGCUUUUGUGGGGUGCUCGAGUGGCGAACGGGUGAGUAACACGUGAGUAACCUGCCCUUGACUUUGGGAUAACUUCAGGAAACUGGGGCUAAUACCGGAUAGGAGCUCCUGCUGCAUGGUGGGGGUUGGAAAGUUUCGGCGGCUGGGGAUGGACUCGCGGCUUAUCAGCUUGUUGGUGGGGUAGUGGCUUACCAAGGCUUUGACGGGUAGCCGGCCUGAGAGGGUGACCGGCCACAUUGGGACUGAGAUACGGCCCAGACUCCUACGGAGGCAGCAGUGGGGAAUAUUGCACAAUGGGCGGAAGCCUGAUGCAGCAACGCCGCGUGCGGGAUGACGGCCUUCGGGUGGUAAACCGCUUUCGCCUGUGACGAAGCGUGAGUGACGGUAAUGGGGAAAGAAGCACCGGCUAACUACGU